RNAcentral lists this ribosomal RNA (495 nucleotides) under uncultured bacterium. RNAcentral describes it as "partial 16S ribosomal RNA". It matches the Rfam family "Bacterial small subunit ribosomal RNA", at positions 28 to 507 of the family's 1533-position model. The record is from RNAcentral.
GACGAACGCUGGCGGCGUGCCUAAUACAUGCAAGUAGAACGCUGAAGGAGGAGCUUGCUCUUCUGGAUGAGUUGCGAACGGGUGAGUAACGCGUAGGUAACCUGCCUGGUAGCGGGGGAUAACUAUUGGAAACGAUAGCUAAUACCGCAUAAGAGUAGAUGUUGCAUGACAUUUACUUAAAAGGUGCAAUUGCAUCACUACCAGAUGGACCUGCGUUGUAUUAGCUAGUUGGUGGGGUAACGGCUUACCAAGGCGACGAUACAUAGCCGACCUGGGAGGGUGAUAGGCCACACAGGGACUGAGACACGGCCCAGACUCCUACGGGAGGCAGCAGUAGGGAAUCUUCGGCAAUGGACGGAAGUCUGACCGAGCAACGCCGCGUGAGUGAAGAAGGUUUUCGGAUCGUAAAGCUCUGUUGUAAGAGAAGAACGAGUGUGAGAGUGGAAAGUUCACACUGUGACGGUAUCUUACCAGAAAGGGACGGCUAACUACGUG